RNAcentral lists this ribosomal RNA (491 nucleotides) under uncultured bacterium. RNAcentral describes it as "partial 16S ribosomal RNA". It matches the Rfam family "Bacterial small subunit ribosomal RNA", at positions 29 to 506 of the family's 1533-position model. The record is from RNAcentral.
AUUGAACGCUGGCGGCAUGCUUUACACAUGCAAGUCGAACGGUAACAGGCCUUCGGGUGCUGACGAGUGGCGAACGGGUGAGUAAUGCAUCGGAACGUACCCAGAGGUGGGGGAUAACGCAGCGAAAGCUGUGCUAAUACCGCAUGUGAUCUGAGGAUGAAAGCGGGGGACCGAGCAGCAAUGUUUGGCCUCGCGCCUUUGGAGCGGCCGAUGUCGGAUUAGCUAGUUGGUGGGGUAAAGGCCUACCAAGGCGACGAUCCGUAGCUGGUCUGAGAGGACGACCAGCCACACGGGGACUGAGAAACGGCCCAGACUCCUAGGGGAGGCAGGAGGGGGGAAUUUUGGACAAUGGGCGGAAGCCUGAACCAGCAACGCCGCGUGGGGGAAGAAGGCCUUCGGGUUGUAAACCGCUUUUGGCAGGAAAGAAACGGUGUCCGCUAAACCCGGGCGCUAAUGGCGGUACCUGAAAAAUAAGCACCGGCUAACUACGU